UAACAAGGUUUCUGUAGGUGAACCUGCAGAAGGAUCAUUAGUGAAGAUUUGGGCAGGCCAUACGGACGCCAAAAAGUGUCCCUGGCCGCCUACACCCACUAUACAUCCACAAACCCGUGUGCACUGUCUUGGAGAAAGGCUUCAGAGAAGUUUUUUGUGGCCUCUCUUGGGGUCUUUCUUCGCUACAAACUCGAAUGGUUAGUAUGAACGUGGAACUUGGUUGGACCGUCACUGGCCAACAAACUAUACACAACUUUCGACAACGGAUCUCUUGGUUCUCCCAUCGAUGAAGAACGCAGCGAA
RNAcentral lists this unclassified non-coding RNA (303 nucleotides) under uncultured fungus. RNAcentral describes it as "partial contains 18S rRNA, ITS1, 5.8S rRNA". The stretch from base 252 to 303 matches the Rfam family "5.8S ribosomal RNA", at positions 1 to 52 of the family's 154-position model. Lineage: Eukaryota; Fungi. The record is from RNAcentral.